Molecule: unclassified non-coding RNA, 183 nt
Filed under: uncultured Clavariadelphus
Lineage: Eukaryota; Fungi; Basidiomycota; Agaricomycetes; Gomphales; Gomphaceae
Description: sequence contains ITS2
Source: RNAcentral
ACCUAGCUCAAUCCCACCUCCCGUGGGCUUGGAUUUGGAUGCUUGCUGUGAGGGGCCUGACCUCUUUCGGCUCGUCUUGAAAUGCAUCAGCUGGGUCUGCCACCGAGUUUGGUGGGUGUGAUAAGAAACACUUGUAGCGCCAUUUCUAAACUCGGAGGGUGGAUUGCUUCCAAUUGUCAUGUC